CCCAUGUAGGAAGCUCAAGGAGGCCGUUGUCACUGGAGAGAGAACCAGAAGGGACCUUAGAAGUCAGCUCACUCAACCCUCCUGCCUCCAGCCCCACUGUACAGAUGAUGAAACUCAAGCCCAAAAGGGCAGGGUUGCCCCAGGUUCCACUGUGUAUAACAAGGAUUCUGAAUACAGCUGAGGACUAUCCUGAUCAAAUAUGCAUACUUCAAAGAUUGCUUCAAUGGACUGAAUGGAAGGAAGAGGUUGCUGAUACCAUGGAAAUCAGUUAAAAGGCUCAUGAAAGAAUGCGAACAAAAAGUUUUUUCAACUGAAUUUGUCCUGCUCUACACCUCUUCCUCCACCCCUCCAAAAUAAAACAAGAUAAUACUGCCAAAUCUUGGAUAAGUAUUAUUCUUUCUAUUAUAAUCCAGAGAAGAUCAAACGCAGUUAAGCUAAAGAGAUUUUUAAAAGUUUAUCCAUGUAAUUUAUGGCAAGAUGAAUAGCACAGUAACCUUGGCUGAAUCAGUACGUAGAGCAUCAAGCUGAAUUUCGAAAGGUUAACAAAUGGAAGCAGAAACCACCCUGUAAUCGAAGCUACUAAGUUCAAAAUUGGCCCGAGGAAUUUCACCUGCUGUUGUGGACUUAUUUAACAGAUAUAAAAACAAAAGUUGAGUCCGGUUCUGGAAGUAAAGGGUGAGUCCAAGAAAUCCCUGAAUGGAUCCACCAUCUCUGGCCUAAUCAAUGUCACCAUGAAGGGGACCUGCAGGCAUUAGAGUGGGUCUUAGUCAUCAUCUCCAUGACUGAGCGGUGAAGAAGGAACCCAGGUGCCACUCAUUAUUGGAUCUCUCUCAAUCUCAGAAAAUAAGCUUUGCACCCGGGGCAGAGAUGAGGAGCAGAUAAAGUAGCAGCUCCCAGUAACCUCAAAUCCACAGCAUCUUUCAGUUACGUGUACUGUAAGAAAUAUUUAAGAUAUAAUUAACUGAAACACACUAAGAAAGAUAAUAUGUGCAGUAGAUUGUUAUAAAGAAGGUAAACCAGGAAGCAACUCUGUGGUUUAUGAGGUGGAAAGGCUUGAGGUUUGAUGUCGUUAAAGGGAAUUAAGUACAGAGGCCACAAAUGUUACAGGUGGUGCUGCAGUUGAAGGCAGAAAAUAUGCAGCGAUCAUAACUCUAAUACAUAUUACCCACAACAGAUUACCUCCAAAAUGGUGACAGUCAGGCCACCUCCAAAAUGAUGAGUCAGGAAAAGAUGAAGUUAGAGAGCUCUCCUUGAAAGCAACCCAGUAGCUUCUUUCUUAUUAAAUGAGAAAAUACUAUUACUCUCUAUCACUAUAUGUUAAGCUUCCCUGAGCUGAGAACACUGACAGCCAUGGCUAAGGUACAGGAGGUAGACCAAUGAGAGAGAACAUGCACUAGGAAUGAAGAUGAACACUGUGAAGAGGACCAGCUUACCAAUGACAGCUUAGAGAUACCAUCAGUAAAGAGGGUAAGAAAAAAUCAGACCACAAAACCCAGGAAAAACAGCUACCUCAAUUUUGGUACUGCUAUCCUUUUAAUUACCUACCCAAACACAAGAAAAUUGAUAAAGAGGGGAAAUCUAGCAUAUUACUCAUCUGAAAACAAAAUCCCUUAUCACAGAAAAUCUUAAACUCUUGCUACACAAAGUGUAAUUCAGGGACAAGCGGCAGCGCCAUCUCAUAGAACCUUGUUAGACAUACAGAAACUGAAACCCCACCUCAAAUCUACUAAGUCAGAAUCCUCACUUUUACAGUUUUCUCAGUUGUACACAUUAGGGUUAAGUAGCACUCCCUUAAAUCACAAUAAGCCUGCUACAGACUGAAUAUUUGCAUUCCUCCAAAAUUUAUAUGUUGAAAUCUAACUCCCAGUAUGAUGGUAUUAAGAGGUGUAGCCUUUGGAAGGUACUGAGGUCAUGAGGCAAAGUCCUCAUGAAUGGGAUUAGUGCCCUUAUCCAAGACAUGAGAGUGCUUGUUUUUUCUCUAUCUGCUCUCUGCCAUAUGAGGAUACACUCAGAAAUGUCCAUGUGCAACAAGGCAGCUGGGCCCUACCAGACACCUGCUCUGCCUGCAUCUUGAUCCUGGACUUCUUAGCUUCCAGCACUGUGAGAAAUAAAUUUCUGUUGUUUGUAAGCCACCUAGUCUAGGGUGCUUUGUUGUAGUAGUCUGAACUAAUUAAGAUAAAGGCAAAGGGACACGAGCAGCAGAUCAGCCAGAUGGGCACAAUACAUCUGCUGCAAAGCUGUGCAAGGGAAAACUGAUUUAAUGCUGCCUUGGCAACUCUAUAUUCAUCUAGUUUAGUUAUUCAACGAGAAGUAAUUGACAUGAAAUUACAGCAAUAAGAUUUGAACUAAAGGAGAUAGAGCUCAGAUGGUAGAAAAUGUUUAAAAUGUAUGCAUGUGUGAAGUUUACUGUCUUAAAAUUGUUAAUAGGUUUGAAAUAUCUUAAAUAAUUAGUAAAAUAAUAAUCAUAAAUAAAAUAUGACAAAAAUAAAAAAGAAAUUACCUGUCAACAGAAUAAAAAGGUCAGUGUAUAUGGGCAAUCCUUUUGUUAUAUUUGUGUCUUAGUCCAUUCAGGUUGCUAUAAAAAUACUUUAAACUCAGUAAUUUAUACACAACAUAAAUUUAUUGCUCACAGAUCUAAAAGCUGGAAAGUUCAAGAUUAAGUCACCAGAAGAUUCAUUAUCUGAUGAGGGCUCUCUGCUUCACAAAUGGCACCUUCUUGCUGUAUCUUAGAUGAUAGAAGGGUAAGGAGAAAGGCAAGCUCACCUAAAUCUCUUUUUUUUUUUUAAAUAAGUGAACUAAUCACAUUCCUGAGAAUAUUAGUUUCAACACCUAGUCACUUUCUAAAGGCCCUGUCACUUAAUACCAACAUAUUGUGGCUUAGAUUUCCACAUAUUAAUUUGGGGGGACACAAAAUUCAGACCAUAGCAUUUGCCCCUGGCCACUCAAAAUUAAUGUCCUUCUCACAUGCAAAGUACAUUAAUUUAAUUCUAGUAGCCCCAAUUUCUUAACUUUUUCAAGAUAAACUUUAAAGUCUAAGUCCAGUCUCAACUAAAUAUAAUCUAAAUCACAUAGAGGUGAAAUUAAAGGUGUGAUUUAUCCUAAGGCAAAUUUCUCUCCAGCUGUGAGCCUGCAAAAUCAAGUAAGUUAUGUGCGUCCAACAUAAAAUAGUGAAACAUGCGUAGAAUAAACUUUUUCGUUCCCAAAAAGGAGAAAUCAGAAGAAAGCAAGGAGUAACAGGUCUCAAGUAAGUCUAAAACCCAAGGGGAAAAACAACAUUCAAUUUUAAGUCUUGAAAAUAAUUUUCUUUGACUCAGUAUUACAACUUCCAGACACACUGGCUUGUGGAAUGAACCUCCUCAAUAUUACAACUUCUAGACACACUGGCUUGUGGAAUGAACCUCCAGGCUCUGGACAGUCCCUUUCCCAUGGCUUAGCUGGGUGUAGCCCAAUUCUAGGGAUUGAGAAGUUGGAGAUGAAGUUUGCAGCUGAUUUGGUGUCUGGUAAAGGCCCUCUGCUUCAUAAAUGGUGCUUUCUUCAGGCAUUCUCAUAUAGCAGGAGGGCAAAGGGGAAAACAAGCUCACUCAGACCCCUUUUAUAAUGGCACUAAUCCCAUUCUGAAGGGUUCUAUUCUUAUAAUCUCCUUACCUCCCAAAGGUCCCACUGUUUGUUUGUUUUUUUUUUUUUUUUUUCUGGAGACGGAGUUUUGCUCUUGUUGCCCAGGCUGAAGUGCAAUAGCGGAUCUCGGCUCACCACAACCUCUGCCUCCCUGACCUCAGGUGUGCCGCCCGCCUCCGUUUCCCAAAAUGCUAAGAUUACAGGCGUGAGCCACCACGCCCGGCCUGGCCCCACUUCUUAAUAUCAACAAAUUGGGGAUUAGAUUGCAACAUACGAAUUUCGGAGGCAUGCAAACUUUCAAACUAUAGCACCUUUGUCACUAAGUUUUUCAGGUAAGAGACAGGAGCUACAGAUGUAGGAUUUAACAUAUUAGGGUAAAAAAAUCUGAAGUUCUAAGUUUGAAUGGAAAUAUUUAUUUGAACUAAUGAUUCAUAGCUUUAAAAUGUACAAUUUAUUCCAUUUUCCCUUUCCUUCAUCCUGCUCCUCUUCCUCCUCCUCCUUCUUACCCCUUCCUCUUUCUAAACUUUUGAAAUAUAAGGACUAUAAUUAGAUUCAGGUUAGAUCUUUUUCUUUUCUUUUCUUUUCUUUUUUUUAAUGCAAGAAUGCCUUAUAGGUGGCUCGUGUUUUUUCAUCUAGAGGUACAAAUAAGCUUUUUGUCUUUGUUUUCGUCAUACUAGUGGCUAUUAUUAUUGCCUAAAUCAAGAAAUUUAUUAGGAGUUUAUAAAAUGGGAUUUGUAUAUAAUUUCUUCU
Molecule: long non-coding RNA, 4365 nt
Organism: Pan troglodytes (chimpanzee)
Lineage: Eukaryota; Metazoa; Chordata; Mammalia; Primates; Hominidae
Exons: 3
Source: RefSeq, a predicted model, not a curated record